This 222-nucleotide ribosomal RNA is filed under the name uncultured bacterium. RNAcentral describes it as "partial 16S ribosomal RNA". It matches the Rfam family "Bacterial small subunit ribosomal RNA", at positions 18 to 231 of the family's 1533-position model. The record is from RNAcentral.
ACAGGCUCAGGAUGAACGCUAGCUACAGGCUUAACACAUGCAAGUCGAGGGGCAGCAUGGUCUUAGCUUGCUAAGACUGAUGGCGACCGGCGCACGGGUGAGUAACACGUAUCCAACCUGCCGUCUACUCUUGGACAGCCUUCUGAAAGGAAGAUUAAUACAAGAUGGCAUCAUGAGUCCGCAUGUUCACAUGAUUAAAGGUAUUCCGGUAGACGAUGGGGA